GAUAAUUCUGGUCCUGGAUGCUGAUUGGUCAAUACAGUGUUACAGCCAUGCUAACAUGCAUGAUGUAUUAACAGCUAACAGAGUUUAUCCGUAUACUCUCAAUAAAACUACCUUGUUUGACUUCCAUGUUUAUGAAACGAAUGACAUUGUCUGUCAUUUGAUGAGCUUCUAACUAUUAUGCCUAUUUUGACCUCUGUGGUGGAUAUUGACGUCUGUGGUCUUUUUGCACCAUCAAUAGAAUGUCAGAUAGCAUCCACCAUUCAGUCUUAUUCAUAUUGGCAGACUGGUGUGUGUGAUUUAUUGAUCAAACUCUGUGUAUGAGACUAGAUUUUAAGUCACUACCACCCUGUUUUCCAUUCAACUGUAUGUUAUAAGAGAGAGAAAGGGAGGGGAAGAAGAAGGAGAUAAAUGAGAUGAAUUUGAGUUUUGAACUCUUAGCUCUAUCUAAUACAUAUUAUCAUUAAUUAUUAUUUUAGCGUCCAAAGUUGGAUGAUCCUGACAGCACUUUUACUCUCGUCUUCUGCUCAGAUGUGGGUAUUCGGUCAGUUAUUUAUUCAGAUGGGCCUGGUUUAUACCCUCUGCUGCUUGUUUGUGGUGUUUAUUCUCUCUCUCCUCCUACAGGCUUUGGCACGCUGCUCCUCUGCAGAGACAACAUCUAUCCAGGCUUCUAUUUAACAUCCUCUCUCACUGUGUGUGUUUGCUUGACUCUCAGACCUUUUUUGGGCAUGAGUUUGUAUUGAUGUGUUGAAGUGAUGGUGUGUUUUGACAAUUGUUUUUUGUAUUGAUUUUUUUUUUUUUAAGUUACACUGCUGUGAUGACUGUUUUUAAAAGGACCGAAGAAGAGACGUGUUCUGUGAAUGCUGGUUUGGUGUUGUAUUGCAUGCUUUGGUGAUGACACAACACAAGCAUCCUCAUACAUCGAAUGUCUCCUUCAUAGGAUGAAGGCUUGGUCAAGGAAAUCAGCAUCACUCACCAUGUCAAGGAAGGCUCGGAAAAAGCAGACACACGACAGUUUGAACUCUGCAAGGUGCUGGGCCAGGGCUCUUUUGGCAAGGUGUUUCUGGUCAAGAAGAUAACUGGGCCCGAUGCAGGACAGCUCUAUGCUAUGAAAGUGCUAAAGAAAGCUACGCUGAAAGUACGAGAUCGAAUGCGUACAAAGAUGGAGAGAGACAUCCUAGUUGAGGUCAAUCAUCCUUUUAUUGUUAAACUGCACUAUGCGUUUCAGACAGAAGGCAAACUCUAUCUGAUUCUGGACUUUCUCAGAGGAGGAGAUCUCUUCACUCGCCUGUCCAAAGAGGUGA
This is a long non-coding RNA of Sinocyclocheilus rhinocerous, 1301 nucleotides long. RefSeq lists it as uncharacterized. The transcript is spliced from 4 exons. The record is from RefSeq and is a predicted model, not a curated record. NCBI's taxonomy places the organism in Eukaryota, Metazoa, Chordata, Actinopteri, Cypriniformes, Cyprinidae.